GGAAUUUUGCUCAAUGGGCGAAAGCCUGAAGCAGCAACGCCGCGUGAGGGAUGAAGGCCUUCGGGUUGUAAACCUCUUUUCUCAGGGACGAUGAUGACGUUACCUGAGGAAUAAGCCACGGCUAACUACGUGCCAGCAGCCGCGGUAAUACGUAGGUGGCAAGCGUUGUCCGGAUUUACUGGGCGUAAAGAGCGCGCAGGCGGUCGUGUAAGUCGAACGUGAAAGCCCCCGGCUCAACUGGGGAGGGUCGUUCGAUACUGCACGACUUGAAGGCAGGAGAGGGAAGUGGAAUUCCCGGUGUAGUGGUGAAAUGCGUAGAUAUCGGGAGGAACACCAGUGGCGAAGGCGACUUCCUGGCCUGUUCUUGACGCUGAGGCGCGAAAGCUAGGGGAGCGAAC
This 398-nucleotide ribosomal RNA is filed under the name uncultured bacterium. RNAcentral describes it as "bacterial SSU rRNA". It matches the Rfam family "Bacterial small subunit ribosomal RNA", at positions 358 to 773 of the family's 1533-position model. The record is from RNAcentral.